Long non-coding RNA from Alligator sinensis (Chinese alligator), 331 nucleotides. RefSeq lists it as uncharacterized. The transcript has 3 exons. The record is from RefSeq and is a predicted model, not a curated record. Lineage: Eukaryota; Metazoa; Chordata; Crocodylia; Alligatoridae.
CCCUAGGAAUCUAGAAGACAUCAGUUCUGACAGGUGCCAUGUGAACAGUGCUGCAUCCAGUAAGGAACAAAAGUAUGAUACCACCAGUCCCAAAGUGCACAAAGCUCUGGGGAGAAUCUGGAAAGGGUCCCAUGGAGCAGCCUUUGUAAAGUGCUUUGCAAUCUACAAAUGCAAAAGACAUGGUAUCAGGGCUAAGUAUCGCUAUUAUAACUUCACACCCUGUCGUGGGCUGUUGCUUACAUGAUAGCAAGACAACUGAUAGACAGCUACCAUGGGAAAGCUUGCGAGCUGAUCAGGUUGCUAUUGCCACAUUUCUCUUCCCGGCCUACCC